GAUGAACGCUAGCGGAAGGCUUAAUACAUGCAAGUCGAGCGGCAAGGUCUUCGGACCCUAGAGCGGCGCACGGGUGAGUAACGCGUACGCAAUCUGCCCUUCAGUGAGGAAUAGCCCUGGGAAACUGGGAUUAAUACCUCAUAAUAUUAUUUGUCUGCAUGGAUGAAUAAUUAAAGUUCUGGCGCUGAAGGAUGAGCGUGCGUCUGAUUAGCUAGUUGGUAGGGUAACGGCCUACCAAGGCUACGAUCAGUAGGGGGCUGAGAGCGUGACCCCCCCACACGGGUACUGAGACACGGACCCGACUCCUACGGGAGGCAGCAGUAAGGAAUAUUGGGCAAUGGAGGCAACUCUGACCCAGCCAUCCCGCGUGAAGGAUUAAGGCCCUAUGGGUUGUAAACUUCUUUUGUUUGGGAAGAAAUCAGGACAUUUAUGUGCUGUUGACGGUACCUUACGAAUAAGCACCGGCUAACUACGUGCCAGCAGCCGCGGUAAAGUCGUCAU
RNAcentral lists this ribosomal RNA (501 nucleotides) under uncultured bacterium. Its description in RNAcentral is "bacterial SSU rRNA". It matches the Rfam family "Bacterial small subunit ribosomal RNA", at positions 28 to 530 of the family's 1533-position model. The record is from RNAcentral.